Eptatretus burgeri (inshore hagfish) is the source of this 3559-nucleotide long non-coding RNA. The record is from Ensembl. NCBI's taxonomy places the organism in Eukaryota, Metazoa, Chordata, Myxini, Myxiniformes, Myxinidae.
CGGCACUUAACAGAAUCAUUAUCUCUCUCUCUCUCUCUCUCUCUCUCUCUCUCUCUCUUCUGUACCAAAUUGGAUAAACGUUAAACUCUGCCUGAAGUUAAAUUGGAUUCCACAAUCAACCAGGAAGAAUCCUUCAAUGAUCACAACGGGUGGGUGAAAAAAAUCCACAACAGUACGAUAGGUUCCAGAUUCGUAACAGUAUUUGCUCUUUAGCGGUGUUUGCUUUGCUUUUGUUUUCUUUUUCAUGCCAACGUCUGAAUUGAAAAAAGUUGUAAUGAUCAAAUCUUGGUUUUGUUACGUUUCUGUUUAUUGUCUAUUUAAUAAGAUGGACAUUAAAUAUGGAAAUAGUGCCUCAAAUGGAAAUUAUAAAUAUGAAUUGUGAUUGCAAAAUAUUGCCCCAAGCACUUGUCUGUGAUUUCUUGCACAAUUAUUAAUAUAUUUUGAAGAAUAACUUUUGUUUUGUAUGAAAAAUACAUGUAUUUUGUAGGAUUGAAAUUUAUAUCGGAGGAAGAAAAUAUUGAUGUGUAUCUGCAAGAAUGGAGGUGGCUGCAAACAAAAAGAGUGGUUGUGCAGUCGUUCAAGAACAGACCCUUCCAUUUCGCUUGCACACAAAGAUUCCAGAUAAUUACACUGGUCUUCCAAACAAGGGACAGUGUUCCAAGGAAGGGUUCACUUCAAACAUGGAGACCUGUAAAAAAGAGAUGGAUCUGCUUCUUUGUGAAGCUGUUGAUACCUUGUUGAAGAAACAACCAUCCGUUCUGUCUCAGCAUUGCCAAGACAUGACGCGCAUUUGUCCUCAUAAUUUCUCGGCCACCCUGUCAAUGUUGGUGGACCGAUCUUGCAGUUUACAAGUUUCAAACGCACAGCUUGUGGCACCUGCAUCUCAUAAUCAAUGUUACUUUGUAACAUUAACUGAGCAGUUACAGGCUCUGAUACUCCUCUUGGACGUGUUGGCUCGUGAUUCAAAGAUGUUGGAGGUACACAAAACCUCUAUUCAUCAGUAUUAUUUGACAUCUGUUAUCAAAUUGCUGGCACAUAUCUUCCGAAAAUACACCCAUCUGCUCCGUACUGCUAACCUAAAAGAAUUGCUCAACUGUUUCCUUCCUGUUGCGGAGAGGAGCAUUGAAGAAAUGGGCAGUCUUGGCUUCGAUAUUUCUCCUUUCAGUGAGAGCUAUAAGGAGGACACGCCACUUGUUCUAACCCUACGUUCCCACAUUGCAUCUCUUCAGCAACACGAGAAAGCAAAUGCUUUAAAGACAAAGAUUGCACCAAAGUGUGACCAGCAACCACUCAAGACAGGAUGUGUAGUCAGCCAUGUUAAACCAAGAAUAAAUGCCAGUGGAAGAAUUGUGAAGACAGGAAUUGUGAGUAAAUCUUCACAAAGAAAAAGGGAAAGCACUUCAAGGCCUGAACUAUUUAGUUGGUCGGUAUGUGCACUGGCUCCAAAAUUGCCCAGACCAGAAGUCCUAAUGAACAGCAACGAUGACCACUGCACGAGCAACAAUGCCGAUGUUGGUGACAAAUGCCUCAUCAGUAAUAAUACUAAUAAUAAUGCUGAGCAGGGUUCAGUCGCGAAGACCACACAGGCAUCCCAGUCUUUGCAGCAUGGGCCUACAUCCGCACAAACAGUUUUAAAGUGUCAACAUCUGCCUGAAAUUCAACAUUCCACAAUGGCUGCCACCAAAAUGUGUCUGGGUUCUAAAAGGCCUCUCGUGGUGCACAAUCCCAACACUCGCGCCAAGGUUGAACCAAGGCAGCAGAAGCAACUCAAGCAGUUGACCUUGAGCAACUGGAAGCUAUCAUAAGUUGCCAAUCCGAUUUUGUUACCAUUCUUUUGGAAUGGAAAGGAAGGUGACACUUUGACUUUCAUAAUAAAUGCUGUUUUCCACAACCUUGCCUUGGACAAAAUGUAUUUUUGAAAAUUUGUUUCACAUCGUAACAGUUUUGUUUGUCACUUUGAACCACAAGUUGCAGCACUUUACAGUGCAUAUGUUGAAAUGCUAUGCAAGCAGAUAUGAAAUGUUAUUUUCAAACUUAUUUAUCUUUUACUUUUGGUUUGUUUUUCAUGUUUUAUUUACAUGUUUAUUGUUCUUUUAAGUGUAAAUCUGCUCUUCAUUCCUGAUAAGUGAUAAAUCACUUUGCUUGUAAACCUCAAUUUUGGGAUUUUCUCUGAUAGUACUUUUGAGCCUCGUUCGUUGAUGCGGUUUUACAAAUCCUUCAUUAUGACCUUUUGGUUCAUCUCCUGAAUUGAGUUGAUUCCUUUUAUGUCUUAAUAGUUGGAUCAUUUCACUCAUGGUUAAUAAAAAUUUGUAUGAUGUUGCUUGUGACUCAUUUUGCUUUUGUGAAACCCCACCACCCUCCAUGUUUUAUAUAUUGUGUACCCUUGAUAUAAAUCCUUCUUUUUUGUAUGUUUUCCAAUUGGCUCUGCUGCUGAUGCAAUUCUCUCUGUAAGGGAUGGCAGGAAUUUGUAAUUUGCUCAUGGUGCCGGUGUUAGCUCGCCUACUCCUAACGAAGGACAUCGUGUGAUCUUUAACAUCCACCAACUACCAUAAUGCCGACAGACGGGACACCAGUUUUAACGUUUAUCCGAAGGAUGGCACACACAUUGAUGAAUCACCCUGCCUGGCUUUUUUACUUACGAAAUCUAAAGAUUUCGUGUAAGUGUAUUGAUGGUUUCCGUCCUCUGUUUGUGUUUGUUUGUAGGCACGAUAACUCGAGAACGGAAGAAGCUACCAAUGUCAAAUUAUACCACGUGAUUCAGGAGGGUGAUGGCUAGCGCUGAUUAGAUUUUGGUCAAAAUCGGUCAAAGGUCAAGGUCACAGUGAGGUCAAACAUCCAAAACAUGAUAACUCCAGAAAAGUUACCACAGGUAUUGUUGACGGAGCGUGAGUUUGGAAGAUCGAGGUAAGUUCAGCGGAAUUUGUGUGUCAAUUUGUCGAGUUAUGGCUGUUUUAAAAAUUUCAGUGUUAUAAAAUAAUAUUAAAUAAUUCCGUAAAUUCCUGUGGAGAAAUGGAGUAUUUUUGCUUCGCUCGACGUUACGAGUUUGUCUUAACUUCGAUUUUAAUUUUGUCUUCGGUUUUUGCGAUCGCUUAGGACGCUUAACACUCGAUUGUCGAAAUUCUGGUAAAAAUCAGAUGUUUUGGAGACGUUUUAAGAUCGUAUAAAAAUAUUUCACCCGCCGCGUCACGGCUCGUCACGUGGUGCAGCACGCUCGAGCAGACGCGUGGUUGAAUCAUGUAAAGGUUUUGCGUGUGCGCGCUGACGUCAUCGCGCUCGCCCCAGUGUCCUUUCAAGUUGGGGGGGGGGGCGUCGAGUGUGACCUUUACAUUACGUUAAUCCGCGGUAACUGGAGAACGGAAGAAGUUGAUGGUUUGGUACAGAAUCAUCGUAGAAACUUCUGGUUUGCGUCGCUACCUUCUCUUGAGACAGCUUUUAUGAGACAAGGUCAGAGGUGAAGUUGACGAUUUCGUAAGUACCAGUCUAUGACUGCUUGUUUGUUUGUUUGUAUGCAGCCUGUGGCUGCUUGGCUGCAUCAUUUUCUGGGGGCAUGGCUGUGCCG